UGCCAGCAGCCGCGGUAAUACGUAGGGAGCGAGCGUUGUUCGGAUUUACUGGGCGUAAAGAGCAUGUAGGCGGGUAUCCAAGUCGGUUGUGAAAUCCUCUGGCUCAACCAGAGAACUGCAAUCGAAACUGUUUACCUUGAGUCUAGCAGAGGGAAUCGGAAUCAAGAGUGUAGCGGUGAAAUGCGUAGAUAUUCUUGAAAACACCAGUGGCGAAGGCGGAUUCCUGGGCUGGUACUGACGCUGAGAUGCGAAAGCUAAGGGAGCGAACAGGAUUAGAUA
This 279-nucleotide ribosomal RNA is filed under the name uncultured bacterium. Its description in RNAcentral is "partial 16S ribosomal RNA". It matches the Rfam family "Bacterial small subunit ribosomal RNA", at positions 506 to 784 of the family's 1533-position model. The record is from RNAcentral.